Molecule: non-coding RNA, 178 nt
Filed under: Bacillota bacterium
Lineage: Bacteria; Bacillati; Bacillota
Description: 6S RNA
Rfam family: 6S / SsrS RNA
About the family: E. coli 6S RNA was the first non coding RNA to be sequenced, but its function was unknown until recently. It consists of 184 nucleotides that fold into an extended hairpin structure with a large single-stranded internal bulge.
Source: RNAcentral
AAGUGUCUAAAGGAUAGGUUGCCGAUUUUAGAAAAACCUACUAAAUUAAUGAUUGGGAAUCUAAUUGAUAGAUGGUGUUGAAUACUUAAAUUUAUUUAAGGCUCCUAAUAUCUAUCAUGUGAUGCCCACCUGGGAGAUCAGGUUUUGAUCAUUAUAGGUACUUUCCUUUGGACCUUUU